RNAcentral lists this ribosomal RNA (787 nucleotides) under Tricosa metacuneola. RNAcentral describes it as "partial 28S large subunit ribosomal RNA". It matches the Rfam family "Eukaryotic large subunit ribosomal RNA", at positions 390 to 887 of the family's 3401-position model. The record is from RNAcentral. Lineage: Eukaryota; Metazoa; Arthropoda; Insecta; Coleoptera; Curculionidae.
CAAGAGUACGUGAAACCGUUUAGGGGUAAACCUGAGAAACCCGAAAGGUCGAAGGGAGAAAUUCAUUCGCGUUUCGACGCAGGCGUGGUGCGGGGCGAGCGACGGGACGCGUUCUUCGGAACGAGUUUCGCGCCCUCCGUACUUCGAACCGGUGACGAACGCGUGCACUUUUCUCCUGGUAGGACGUCGCGAUCCGUCGGGUGUCGGUCUACGACUUGCGGUGGAGACCGUCCGUCGUCGUUUCGUACGAUGCGGACGGACCCGCACGUUCCGGCCGACUCGCUCGACGGUAUACGAAAGGUCGGAGGCCGCUCGUUUUUUUUUCAAGGAGCGUUCGACUCGUCGCAAGCGCGCCACGUGCGUCGGCACGCGGACCUCGUGCCGCGUCCGACCUCUGGUGACUGUUGGCGACGACGUUCUCGGACAGACCUCUUUUCGUCGUCGUCGCAAGGCGAUCGACAAAGACCGAUCGGCGACGCUAUAGCUUUGGGUACUUUCAGGACCCGUCUUGAAACACGGACCAAGGAGUCUAGCAUGUACGCGAGUCAUUGGGAAUCACUAAACCUAAAGGCGUAAUGAAAGUGAAGGUCUUCCUCGCGGAGACCGAGGGAAGACGGACGGGGGUGGUUACGUUACGUUACGAACCGUCCUGCAUUCCCGGGGCGUCUCGUUCACAUCGCGUGAAGAGGCGCACCAAGAGCGUACACGCUGGGACCCGAAAGAUGGUGAACUAUGCCUGGUCAGGACGAAGUCAGGGGAAACCCUGAUGGAGGUCCGUAGCGAUUCU